Molecule: long non-coding RNA, 438 nt
Organism: Ictalurus punctatus (channel catfish)
Lineage: Eukaryota; Metazoa; Chordata; Actinopteri; Siluriformes; Ictaluridae
Source: Ensembl
UUUAUUUCUCUAUAAAUCAGUCUGACGUAAAAUGCGAGUUGAUAAUAUUUGAGGAUUGGCUUAAUUUUGAAUUAUAUUGUGUUGGAUUAAGUAGACCAUGAGGUAGAUAACUAGCUAAAUAAUAUUCUAGGUAGAUAAGCUAGUUAACUGAAAAACUAGGUAACUGACUAUCAGGCUGAGGAAAUAACUAACUAGAUAGUGGGCUGGGUAACUUGGGAACUAAAUAGCAGGCUGAGUAAAUAGCUAACUAAAUAGCAGGCUGGGUAAAUAGCUAACUAAAUAGCAGGCUGGGUAGCUAGCUAACUAAAUAGCAGGCUGGGUAGCUAGCUAACUAAAUAGCAGGCUGGGUAGCUAGCUAACUAAAUAGCAGGCUGAGUAAAUAGCUAACUAAAUAGCAGGCUGGGUAGCUAACUAAAUAGCUAGCUAACUAAAUAGCAG